UGUAAGCUUGUUAUAACUGCCAUACCAGCUAUGGCCAGGAGCUGUAGCUGGGCUGGUGGCCCAUGCCUGUGAUCCCAGCACUUAUGAGGCUGAUACAGAAGAAUCGCCCAUGUGUCUGUUGCUUGCCCAGCUACCUGGAAAAGCCUGUCUUCAGACAACAUGGAACUUAGAACCACAAGCCCGUCCCGAUGUUGCAAUAAGUUUGGCCUUUGGAGAUUGGAGCCAGUUCACUGAGUUGAUUAGUCCACCCCUGCCAUCCUGGGGACCGUGAGUGAGACAGACGACCUUUCCCUCAGUGCACAUCCAAGAAUGUGUAUUGAGUUUGGGACCACAAGUCAUGGAGACGGAGCUAAGUAAGUCAGAAAAUCUCCCUUCUCCUGAGAAACCGUAUUUUAGGAGAAUCCUACAGGACUGAGGACUAUGAAGAGAGCUAAAGCAGAGCCAACAUGGGCUAGUGAGAAGGGUCAGAGGGUAGAGGCACUUACUGUCAGGGCUGAUAACCUGAGUUCUGUCCCCAGAAGCCGUCCCACAAGUUGUCCUCUGACAAUCACCAUUCUGUGGCAUGCUCCCCACUCCCACUUCCACACAGCCUCACCGACCGCAUCAACACACACACACACACACACACACACACACACACACACACGCAUACGCACGCGAGC
Long non-coding RNA from Rattus norvegicus (Norway rat), 662 nucleotides. NCBI's taxonomy places the organism in Eukaryota, Metazoa, Chordata, Mammalia, Rodentia, Muridae. The record is from Ensembl.